GCCAGGCAUGGUGGUGCAUGUCUGUAAUCCUAGUGACUUGGGAGGCUGAGGCAGGAGGAUCAAAAGUUUAAAACCAGCCUUGGU
RNAcentral lists this small RNA (84 nucleotides) under Marmota monax (woodchuck). Lineage: Eukaryota; Metazoa; Chordata; Mammalia; Rodentia; Sciuridae. The record is from RNAcentral.